RNAcentral lists this ribosomal RNA (301 nucleotides) under uncultured bacterium. RNAcentral's name for it is "partial 16S ribosomal RNA". It matches the Rfam family "Bacterial small subunit ribosomal RNA", at positions 509 to 808 of the family's 1533-position model. The record is from RNAcentral.
CAGUCGCCACGGGAACACGAAGGGUGCAAGCGUUAAUCGGAAUUACUGGGCGUAAAGCGUGCGUAGGCGGUUUGUUAAGUCUGUUGUGAAAUCCCCGGGCUCAACCUGGGAAUGGCAAUGGAUACUGGCAAGCUAGAGUGUGUCAGAGGAUGGUGGAAUUCCCGGUGUAGCGGUGAAAUGCGUAGAGAUCGGGAGGAACAUCAGUGGCGAAGGCGGCCAUCUGGGACAACACUGACGCUGAGGCACGAAAGCGUGGGGAGCAAACAGGAUUAGAUACCGUGUAGUCCCUGUCUCUUAUACA